GUUGGUGUGGCUAAGUGGUAAGAGUAUUGGUUUGUGCACCAGAGGGUCAUGGGUUCAAUUCCCAGUCAAGGGCA
Molecule: non-coding RNA, 74 nt
Organism: Myotis brandtii (Brandt's bat)
Lineage: Eukaryota; Metazoa; Chordata; Mammalia; Chiroptera; Vespertilionidae
Source: Rfam